This 497-nucleotide ribosomal RNA is filed under the name uncultured bacterium. RNAcentral's name for it is "partial 16S ribosomal RNA". It matches the Rfam family "Bacterial small subunit ribosomal RNA", at positions 28 to 507 of the family's 1533-position model. The record is from RNAcentral.
GAUGAACGCUGGCGGCGUGCCUAAUACAUGCAAGUCGAGCGAACAGAUGAGGAGCUUGCUCCUCUGACGUUAGCGGCGGACGGGUGAGUAACACGUGGAUAACCUACCUAUAAGACUGGGAUAACUUCGGGAAACCGGAGCUAAUACCGGAUAAUAUAUUGAACCGCAUGGUUCAAUAGUGAAAGAUGGUUUUGCUGUCACUUAUAGAUGGAUCCGCGCCGCAUUAGCUAGUUGGUAAGGUAACGGCUUACCAAGGCAACGAUGCGUAGCCGACCUGAGAGGGUGAUCGGCCACACUGGAACUGAGACACGGUCCAGACUCCUACGGGAGGCAGCAGUAGGGAAUCUUCCGCAAUGGGCGAAAGCUUGACGGAGCAACGCCGCGUGAGUGAUGAAGGUCUUCGGAUCGUAAAACUCUGUUAUUAGGGAAGAACAAAUGUGUAAGUAACUAUGCACGUCUUGACGGUACCUAAUCAGAAAGCCACGGCUAACUACGUG